This 890-nucleotide ribosomal RNA is filed under the name uncultured bacterium. RNAcentral describes it as "bacterial SSU rRNA". It matches the Rfam family "Bacterial small subunit ribosomal RNA", at positions 505 to 1397 of the family's 1533-position model. The record is from RNAcentral.
GUGCCAGCAGCCGCGGUAAUACGGAAGGUCCGGGCGUUAUCCGGAUUUAUUGGGUUUAAAGGGAGCGCAGGCUGGCUUUUAAGCGUGACGUGAAAUGCGGCGGCUCAACCGUCCGAAGUGCGUCGCGAACUGGAGGCCUUGAGUGAGUUCGACGCCGGCGGAAUUCGUGGUGUAGCGGUGAAAUGCUUAGAUAUCACGAGGAACCCCGAUUGCGAAGGCAGCCGGCGAGGCCUUUACUGACGCUAAAGCUCGAAGGUGCGGGUAUCGAACAGGAUUAGAUACCCUGGUAGUCCGCACGGUAAACGAUGGAUGCCCGCUGUUUGCGAUACACUGUGAGCGGCCAAGCGAAAGCGUUAAGCAUCCCACCUGGGGAGUACGCCGGCAACGGUGAAACUCAAAGGAAUUGACGGGGGCCCGCACAAGCGGAGGAACAUGUGGUUUAAUUCGAUGAUACGCGAGGAACCUUACCCGGGCUUGAACUGCAGCGGAACGAUUCAGAGAUGAUGAGGUCCUUCGGGACCGCUGUGGAGGUGCUGCAUGGUUGUCGUCAGCUCGUGCCGUGAGGUGUCGGCUUAAGUGCCAUAACGAGCGCAACCCCUCUCUUCAGUUGCCAUCGGGUUAUGCCGGGCACUCUGGAGACACUGCCACCGUAAGGUGUGAGGAAGGUGGGGAUGACGUCAAAUCAGCACGGCCCUUACGUCCGGGGCUACACACGUGUUACAAUGGGUGGUACAGAGAGCCGGUCUGCCGCAAGUCAGAUCCAAUCAAGAAAGCCAUCCUCAGUUCGGACUGGGGUCUGCAACCCGACCCCACGAAGCUGGAUUCGCUAGUAAUCGCGCAUCAGCCAUGGCGCGGUGAAUACGUUCCCGGGCCUUGUACACACCGCCCGU